UACGGAGGGUGCAAGCGUUGUCCGGAUUUAUUGGGUUUAAAGGGUGCGUAGGCGGCUUUUUAAGUCAGUGGUGAAAGACAACAGCUCAACUGUUGCAGUGCCAUUGAUACUGAAGAGCUUGAGUACAGAUGAGGUAGGCGGAGUUUAUGGUGUAGCGGUGAAAUGCAUAGAUACCAUAAAGAACACCUAUUGCGAAGGCAGCUUACUAAGCUGUAACUGACGCUGAGGCACGAAAGUGUGGGGAUCAAACAGG
RNAcentral lists this ribosomal RNA (253 nucleotides) under uncultured bacterium. RNAcentral's name for it is "partial 16S ribosomal RNA". It matches the Rfam family "Bacterial small subunit ribosomal RNA", at positions 524 to 776 of the family's 1533-position model. The record is from RNAcentral.